Molecule: non-coding RNA, 535 nt
Organism: Dama dama (fallow deer)
Lineage: Eukaryota; Metazoa; Chordata; Mammalia; Artiodactyla; Cervidae
Source: the annotation of a RefSeq genome assembly
CAGCUGUAGGGCCACAGAAGGCAGGACACCCUGACCAUGUCCACCAUGGCCUGGUCCCGUCUGCUUCUCACCCUGGUCGCUCUCUACACAGGAUCCUGGGCCCAGGAUGUGCUGACUCAGCCACCCUCCGUGUCCGGGUCCCCGGGUCAGACGGUCACCAUCUCCUGCACUGGGAGCAGCAACAGCAUUGGCUAUGGCAAUUAUCUGAACUGGUACCAACAGAUCCCAGGAUCGGGCCCCAGAAGCCUUAUCUAUGGUACUACCAUUCGAUACUCGGGUGUCCCCGACCGGUUCUCCGGCUCCAGUUCUGGCAACACAGCCACCCUGACCAUCACUUCGCUCCAGGCUGAAGACGAGGGGGAUUAUUACUGUGCACCUUACGGAAGUAGUAGCUAUGAAGAUUGCACAGUGCUCCAGGCCUGGGGGAAGUGAGACAAAAACCUGCUCUGCUCCUGACAUGGGCCUCCCAGGGCUGAACCAUCUCUGUCAAAGCAGACACUGUAGCAACAGCUGUGAAAUGGACAUAAAUCUUAUU